Molecule: long non-coding RNA, 279 nt
Filed under: Citrus maxima (pomelo)
Lineage: Eukaryota; Viridiplantae; Streptophyta; Magnoliopsida; Sapindales; Rutaceae
Description: long non-coding RNA (CMAX_LNC000440)
Source: RNAcentral
AUCUCAGAUCCUUUCAGGGAAGAGUUGAUGAAAGCACUUGAACCUUUUAUGAAAAUUGCUUCUUCCAAUUGUUCUUCUUCUUCUGGUUUCUCAUCUUCUUCUUACUCUUCUUACUCUUCUUACUCUUCUUACUCUUCUUACUCUUCUUACUCUCCAACCACUUCUUCAGAAGCCAACUUUUUUUACCCUGAUGGUUAUAACCUUUGCUCCCCAUCAUAUGACACCCCUAUGUUUUCUCAAGGGUUGAUGAGUUUUGAGCAGCAACCAAUUAGUUCUCUU